Molecule: long non-coding RNA, 385 nt
Organism: Alligator mississippiensis (American alligator)
Lineage: Eukaryota; Metazoa; Chordata; Crocodylia; Alligatoridae
Exons: 3
Source: RefSeq, a predicted model, not a curated record
UAUUUGGAUUUGAAGAACCAGCCGAGUCUUGUGAUACGCACCAGCUUUGUUUCUGGAGUUCAGUCAGAACUGCAUCUGAAUUUUCCUUAAAGAAGAGGAUCCUUCAGAUGUCUUGGAGCACUGAGGAUUUUCCUUUGACUACAGAAACAGCUAUGCCUUGACCAGGCUAGCCCUCUGGGCAGGACCUUUACCUCAUAUUGAACAAGCUGGACAUUGGCCACUUAAUGAGCAGAUAGUCGAUACUGUUUUGUCCUCAUUGUUUAUAUGUGGCUUACUGCUUUAUUUAAUGUACCCUGCUUUGGAGGCAAAAUUAUUGAUUUCCUUCUGGGCUUUUCUGUAGCGUUCAUCACUAGAGUGAGCGCCUCAUAAAUAUUAAUAAACUGAU